This is a long non-coding RNA of Lepidothrix coronata (blue-crowned manakin), 174 nucleotides long. RefSeq lists it as uncharacterized. Lineage: Eukaryota; Metazoa; Chordata; Aves; Passeriformes; Pipridae. The record is from RefSeq and is a predicted model, not a curated record. The transcript has 3 exons.
UGUGGCUCUGUGCUGCUGCAAGGAGGCUGUCGAGCGUUUGAACUGAAAGCAAAAUAGAAGUUGCUCAUGGAUACCUUUGCAAAACACUGGCACUCAGUGAACAGCAGGACAAGAAGUGCCUUCCCUGAGGUAAUUUUCUAGGAGAAUCCAGGACUUCUGAGCUCCCCCCAUUUC